UACAAACUGCAAUGAGGACUCCAUGACCUUUUCUAAACUGCGGCAAACUUGCAAUCACGUCUGGUUGAGCUUUAUUGAAACGAACUUUUCCCAUGGGUUGGUGAGUAAAAUGUAGGUACGAUUUUUAAUUGCAUCUAGUUUUAAGAGUUUUAUUACUUGUGUUAACUGAUCUCUUUGCUUUCAGGACCCAUACAAACUGCAAUGAGGACUCCAUGACCUUUUCUAAACUGCGGCAAACUUGCAAUCACGUCUGGUUGAGCUUUAUUGAAACGAACUUUUCCCAUGGGUUGUGCCUUUCAGAUGUUUUUUCCCCUGAGUCACAAAUUUAAAUUUCAAAUCUCUAUCACACCAGAAAUGAGCAUCUCAGAGGCAAAGUUUGUGCUUUGUUCCACACAUGAAUGCAGAAUGACGGUGAAGAUUCAAGAUGGAGUUGUGAAAAUCAGUGCAACCAGAAGCAGUAACCCAGGCGGAAGUUUAGUGGAAGCACAACAAUUUAAUUGAGGACAGUAGUGAGUUACAACUUGUACCUCUGCACUGAAACAGAGUCAAAAGACUGUCUCUAUGCUAAACCACGAGUUCCCCUCAAAUAAAGAUUGGGAGAGCACAUUUUUUAUCAUGGAUUCAGGAGUUGUUUAAAGCUGACAGCAACUACACUACAUGCAUCGCAGAAGCAGUCAAAAGCAAAUGAUAAGUCAAGUUGCAGGAAAAUACAGCUCGUGAGGUGCAGCAAUCGUAGUCGCAGGGUGGACAAAGCAGUGGAAGCUCCAGGAAUGAAAUGCUUAGUGUUCAGCAUACAUUCUCUGAAGGGUUGAAGAGGUAGAUGUGAGAGAUUUGAACAGUCGUCAGGGAGCUUCAUAACUGAAAUCUCUUCAAGCAGCCCCUGCCUCACACAUUGAGAUUCCACGCCAGGAGCCAACCUGCUAUCCGGCCGAGAUGGAGCCCCUGCAGUGUAGAGGGUAGGCAGCCCGCUGGACAGGUAUGCAGUGCGGGCGUGCCUACCCCCCGGUCUGCAGGGGCUACAGGGACAAGGGAGGACUGCUGGCGCCUGCCGCUGCUUGAGGCGGCUCCUGCCGGCACCUGCGCAGCCUUUCCCUCAUCCCCCGCUUCGCCCCACUCUUUCCUCUUUUCUGUAGACCAUAGUAUUAUUUUUCUAUA
Molecule: long non-coding RNA, 1155 nt
Organism: Thrips palmi
Lineage: Eukaryota; Metazoa; Arthropoda; Insecta; Thysanoptera; Thripidae
Exons: 6
Source: RefSeq, a predicted model, not a curated record